Molecule: long non-coding RNA, 543 nt
Filed under: Monodelphis domestica (gray short-tailed opossum)
Lineage: Eukaryota; Metazoa; Chordata; Mammalia; Didelphimorphia; Didelphidae
Description: lncRNA (ENSMODG00000036492.1)
Source: RNAcentral
GAGUGUUUUACAGGACCCGCUUCGACUUUCAGAAUAGCUGGUAUUACCACAGCCACCCUAAUUUUCAGCAACUGCUAUCCUGAUUAUCAACAGCCAUCAACAUUGAGACAAGACCCUUGACUGGUAAAAAGAUCCCAACUCAGUGAAGACUCAGAUGAUGGUUAUCAUUUUGGGGCAAUAAAGUAUUUUCAAAUUAAGAAAACCCAGCUUCAUGGAACCUGUGCAACCCAGUUCGAUCAAGUCACCACAUCGUCUAGAGAAGGAAUGGAAAGAGGACUGGCCAUUUUCAUGAACAGCAAGAAUGGAAGGAGAGUACUAAAGAAACUGAUCUUUAUGACUUCUCUUCCUGAGGGUCUUUGGGUACUGGAGGAAAGGAGAGGAGAAGGUGAGGAAGUAUAUUGAGGGAUAAUUCAGCUUUUCUUUCCUUUUUCUCCACAGUUCAACAAUGAGAUGAGAUUCAGUAACUUGCCUCAAGGUGAUGCUUUAAACUUCUUAUUGCCUUCUUCAUUAAGGGGGCAAACUUUAUACUGUGUAUAUGUGAAU